UGGAGGUAUCAGAAGUGCGAAUGCUGACAUAAGUAACGAUAAAGCGGGUGAAAAGCCCGCUCGCCGGAAGACCAAGGGUUCCUGUCCAACGUUAAUCGGGGCAGGGUGAGUCGACCCCUAAGGCGAGGCCGAAAGGCGUAGUCGAUGGGAAACAGGUUAAUAUUCCUGUACUUGGUGUUACUGCGAAGGGGGGACGGAGAAGGCUAUGUUGGCCGGGCGACGGUUGUCCCGGUUUAAGCGUGUAGGCUGGUUUUCCAGGCAAAUCCGGAAAAUCAAGGCUGAGGCGUGAUGACGAGGCACUACGGUGCUGAAGCAACAAAUGCCCUGCUUCCAGGAAAAGCCUCUAAGCAUCAGGUAACAUCAAAUCGUACCCCAAACCGACACAGGUGGUCAGGUAGAGAAUACCAAGGCGCUUGAGAGAACUCGGGUGAAGGAACUAGGCAAAAUGGUGCCGUAACUUCGGGAGAAGGCACGCUGAUAUGUAGGUGAAGUCCCUCGCGGAUGGAGCUGAAAUCAGUCGAAGAUACCAGCUGGCUGCAACUGUUUAUUAAAAACACAGCACUGUGCAAACACGAAAGUGGACGUAUACGGUGUGACGCCUGCCCGGUGCCGGAAGGUUAAUUGAUGGGGUCAGCGCAAGCGAAGCUCUUGAUCGAAGCCCCGGUAAACGGCGGCCGUAACUAUAACGGUCCUAAGGUAGCGAAAUUCCUUGUCGGGUAAGUUCCGACCUGCACGAAUGGCGUAAUGAUGGCCAGGCUGUCUCCACCCGAGACUCAGUGAAAUUGAACUCGCUGUGAAGAUGCAGUGUACCCGCGGCAAGACGGAAAGACCCCGUGAACCUUUACUAUAGCUUGACACUGAACAUUGAGCCUUGAUGUGUAGGAUAGGUGGGAGGCUUUGAAGUGUGGACGCCAGUCUGCAUGGAGCCGACCUUGAAAUACCACCCUUUAAUGUUUGAUGUUCUAACGUGGACCCGUGAUCCGGGUUGCGGACAGUGUCUGGUGGGUAGUUUGACUGGGGCGGUCUCCUCCUAAAGAGUAACGGAGGAGCACGAAGGUUGGCUAAUCCUGGUCGGACAUCAGGAGGUUAGUGCAAUGGCAUAAGCCAGCUUGACUGCGAGCGUGACGGCGCGAGCAGGUGCGAAAGCAGGUCAUAGUGAUCCGGUGGUUCUGAAUGGAAGGGCCAUCGCUCAACGGAUAAAAGGUACUCCGGGGAUAACAGGCUGAUACCGCCCAAGAGUUCAUAUCGACGGCGGUGUUUGGCACCUCGAUGUCGGCUCAUCACAUCCUGGGGCUGAAGUAGGUCCCAAGGGUAUGGCUGUUCGCCAUUUAAAGUGGUACGCGAGCUGGGUUUAGAACGUCGUGAGACAGUUCGGUCCCUAUCUGCCGUGGGCGCUGGAGAACUGAGGGGGGCUGCUCCUAGUACGAGAGGACCGGAGUGGACGCAUCACUGGUGUUCGGGUUGUCAUGCCAAUGGCACUGCCCGGUAGCUAAAUGCGGAAGAGAUAAGUGCUGAAAGCAUCUAAGCACGAAACUUGCCCCGAGAUGAGUUCUCCCUGACUCCUUGAGAGUCCUGAAGGAACGUUGAAGACGACGACGUUGAUAGGCCGGGUGUGUAAGCGCAGCGAUGCGUUGAGCUAACCGGUACUAAUGAACCGUGAGGCUUAACCUUACAACGCCGAAGGUGUUU
Molecule: ribosomal RNA, 1689 nt
Filed under: Escherichia coli
Lineage: Bacteria; Pseudomonadati; Pseudomonadota; Gammaproteobacteria; Enterobacterales; Enterobacteriaceae
Description: partial 23S ribosomal RNA
Rfam family: Bacterial large subunit ribosomal RNA
Source: RNAcentral